AAGGUCACGGCAAGACGAGCCGUUUAUUGUCACGAUAGGUGCCGGGUGGAAGUGCGGUGACGUAUGCAGCUGAGGCAUCCUAACAGACCGAGGGAUUUGAACC
This 103-nucleotide ribosomal RNA is filed under the name Schizaea dichotoma. Its description in RNAcentral is "4.5S ribosomal RNA". Lineage: Eukaryota; Viridiplantae; Streptophyta; Polypodiopsida; Schizaeales; Schizaeaceae. RNAcentral also lists the same sequence under 4 other names. The record is from RNAcentral.